AUUGAACGCUGGCGGCAUGCCUUACACAUGCAAGUCGAACGGCAGCACGGGUGCUUGCACCUGGUGGCGAGUGGCGAACGGGUGAGUAAUACAUCGGAACGUACCUUAUCGUGGGGGAUAACGCAGCGAAAGCUGUGCUAAUACCGCAUACGCCCUGAGGGGGAAAGCGGGGGAGCGCAAGAGCUCGCGCGAUUAGAGCGGCCGAUGCCUGAUUAGCUUGUUGGUGGGGUAAAAGCCCACCAAGGCGACGAGCGGUAGCUGGUCUGAGAGGGCGAUCGGCCACACUGGGACUGAGACACGGACCAGACUCCUACGGGAGGCAGCAGUGGGGAAUUUUGGACGAUGGGGGCAACUCUGAUCCAGCAAUGCCGCGUGAGUGAAGAAGGCCUUCGGGUUGUAAAGCUCUUUUGUCAGGGAAGAAACACCGGCUCUAACACAGUCUGGGAAUGACGGUACCUGAAGAAUAAGCACCGGCUAACUACGUGCCAGCCGCCGCAGUAA
RNAcentral lists this ribosomal RNA (501 nucleotides) under uncultured bacterium. Its description in RNAcentral is "partial 16S ribosomal RNA". It matches the Rfam family "Bacterial small subunit ribosomal RNA", at positions 29 to 523 of the family's 1533-position model. The record is from RNAcentral.